Molecule: RNA transcript, 1328 nt
Organism: Pangasianodon hypophthalmus (striped catfish)
Lineage: Eukaryota; Metazoa; Chordata; Actinopteri; Siluriformes; Pangasiidae
Gene: acmsd
Gene name: aminocarboxymuconate semialdehyde decarboxylase
Exons: 11
Source: RefSeq, a predicted model, not a curated record
CUGAGCUUCAGGUGCAUGGGCUGGCUGUGACCCUUUUCCCACUCUGAAACUCUGUGUGUUCAGGACUUCUAACUGCGUAGAAGAUGAAGAUUGAUAUCCAUAACCAUAUUUUGCCCAAGGAAUGGCCUGAUCUAAGAGAGAGAUAUGGAUAUGAUGGAUUUGUCCAGCUCCGCCACCACUGUAAGGGAGAAGCCAAAAUGAUAAAGGAUGGGAAAGUGUUCCGUGUAGUUCAGGAGAACUGCUGGGAUGCUGAGGCUCGGAUACGGGACAUGGAUAAGCACGGUGUCACAGUGCAGGCCUUGUCUACUGUACCUGUAAUGUUCAGCUACUGGGCAAAACCUCAGGACACACUGGACCUUUGUGGGAUCCUUAAUGACGACCUGGCAGCCACUGUGAGGCGAUACCCGAAACGCUUUGUAGGCCUCGGCACCCUUCCCAUGCAGGCCCCUGAGCUGGCUGUACAGGAAAUGCGGCGCUGUGUGCAGGAGCUGGGUUUCCCAGGAGUGCAAAUCGGUUCACACAUCAACACUUGGGACCUCAAUGCUCCUGAGCUUUACCCUGUUUACGCUGCUGCUGAGGAGCUAAACUGUGCAUUAUUUGUGCAUCCAUGGGAUAUGCAGACAGAUGGGAGAAUGGCCAAGUACUGGCUGCCAUGGCUAGUUGGUAUGCCUUCAGAAACUACAAUGGCUAUUUGCUCCAUGAUCUUUGGGGGUAUUUUUGAGAGAUUCCCAAAGCUAAAGGUCUGCUUUGCUCAUGGAGGUGGCGCUUUUCCUUAUACAAUUGGACGAAUCGAGCAUGGAUUCAACGUCCGGCCAGACCUGUGUGCUACAGACAAUAAGAUCAAUCCACGUAAAUACUUAGGAUCGUUUUAUACUGACUCUCUGGUCCAUGACCCGCUUGCUCUUCAGUUACUCAUUGAUGUCAUCGGGAAGGAUAAGGUGAUGUUAGGAACAGAUUACCCAUUUCCUCUUGGAGAACUGGAGCCGGGAACAUUGAUAGAAUCGAUGCGUGAAUUUGACGGCACACUAAAGGAUAAACUCCUGGCAGGAAAUGCUCUCGAAUUUUUGGGUCUUGAGAGGAAACAGUUUGAGUGACGUGCUAAGAGUUCAGUUGUCUGCCUCAUGGGGGGAAAGGACUGGUGCCAGAAUAUCAAAGUGAAGAUCCCAGAAGCUGGGGUCAGAGCGCAGGGUCAGCCAUGAUACAGCAGCCCUGGAGCAGAGAGGGUUAAGGGCCUUGCUCAGGGGCCCAAUGGUGGUGGCUUGAACUCCUGACCUUCUGAUCAGUAACCCAGAGCCUUUACCACUGAGCCACCAUGGGCCUAAACAGUG